UCAAGUUACUGGCUUCAAGCCUAUCCAUC
Molecule: non-coding RNA, 29 nt
Filed under: Bombyx mori (domestic silkworm)
Lineage: Eukaryota; Metazoa; Arthropoda; Insecta; Lepidoptera; Bombycidae
Source: RNAcentral